ACCCACUGAAAAAAAAAUAUAAAGCUUUUUCCUUCUCAUUAUGUUUGGUGGGGUGGGGGGUGGCAGACUUGGUAUAACUGACUUUUGUUGUUCUUGAUGCAUUCUUCCUCUUUUUAAAAUCGGCCCCUUUUUUCAGUUUGUGUGUAGCCAUAAACGGCUUUUCUUGUUCCAGGGCCGGCGAGCGAAGAGAAGCGUUUAGCGAGGGGGUUUGGGCACAGGCGAGCGGAGACAGGGUUGCGCUUCUUCGGGAAACAAACGGACUGCGAGCGCCGGAGGUACAGAGAACCGGGAAAGAGCGCCUGUUCCGCGGCGCCUGGAAAGCACCCGAGGGCGGCGGAUGCGAUUUGCUUUUUUUUCUUCUUACGGAUGGAGUAUCUUUGCUCUGCCAAUCAAUCCCUUGACGAGACUACACCCAGAAUGAAACGACUGUGAGAGGCACCGCGGCGCUUAAAAGUUUUUGCCUGUAUAUCUCCGCUUUGAUGCUGGUGAUAAAACGUCCAAAAUGUCGAGGACACACCGCCAGGACAAGAGGAGGAACUAUAACUACAGGAUGUCUUGACCCGAGGGAAGUCGCGGUGUUGCUCUGUUCGACCUCUUGCAUGAUGCUGCACCAGACAGUCCACCAACAACAGGUGUCGGACUGCGGCCGAAGUGCUCCAGGUGGCCUGUGAAAUCGAUUUUAACCCCAUGACUCUGUGGAGCAGAGGCUGAGUCGCCAACCCGGGUGACGAUUUAGCUGGCCCUGACAGAUUUACAGAUUCCAGAGAAAGAGGGAGAGAGAAGAUAAGCACAGAGGAGAAAGCAGGAUGGAGAAACACUGGACCUAGAACCUAGAAAUGAAAACAUUGAAAACCAUGAAAACAUUCCUCGAAGACAACUGAUGAAAAAGGCGACGGAGACGCCGUGUUCCUCUCGAAGCCCGAGGUUGUGCUGUGGCUGCGCCUUCUCCGCCCCUCUCCGCCCAGGACUUCCUCCUCCACCCCAGGAUGAGGGCGACGGCUUCUCUUCUCCCUGACAGCAAGCAUGGGUCAGCAGCGUGCCACUUCCUGGAUUCAAACAGUUCAAAUUGUUUCCUUUAAUGUGUUCUCACUUUUGUAUAUGAAUAUUUUUACUGUCAUUUGUUGUGUAAUUCAUGAAGAACUGCUGUCUAGACCAUCAAGUCAUAACUGAUCCGAGUGUGUGAUAAAGCAAAUGUAGUCUUGUUUGGUGUAAAGUAAAAUAGCACAUAAAUGCCCAUACUCGGUUUUCCGGUUCCUUGCAGCAUGAUUGCUGUUGACACAGCGGGUUCAGAGAGUAAAACUCCACCACAGGAUUUUGUUCCAACCACCUGGCUUUGUCAUUAGCUCAAGCCAGUAGUUAGAAACAUGGGCCAAGCGAUACCAAACCAUGGCAGGACUUUUAGUUUUUGAACCUGAGGCCGUCACACCUCUGAGGUUUAGCGCCUUGUUUUGACUGAUUUAUUUGUUUAUUUAUUUAUGUCUUUACGGGGAUCUUUGCAAUGUUUGCUGUGAGAUACAAACAUGCACACAAUAACACUCUUUAAUAACCCGCUUAAAUUUCAACUUGAAUCAAAGCACCUUGUUUCUUCAGAGCAUUUGAGUAAACCCAGUUUAAGUAAGUGUGGGUUUCAUUUGGAGACUCAGAUCAAGUUAAAUGGUCAGUUAAUUAUCUUCAGAGGACAUAUUUGAACUGUUCUUUAGAUAGUCCCCAGAUAUGCAUUUAUCCUAGACAGGGGUUCAUGUUACAGGAAGCUGCAAUUUUAUAGUACUUAAACUACUUAAAUUAGGUGAGUUGCAUGUUUUCAGUUCACAUAAACUGAUUAUGCGCUACAGUUAGCCUCUGAUUGGCUCAGGCAUUCCUGACUCAUUUACAUAAGAGAAAAGGUGCUUUCGUGUACUUAAUGUUGGGACAUACUCUAACUGAAAGGACUUUAGAGCUUGAAAGUACUUUGGAAUAUUUAUUGAUGGAGAAAUUAACCAUAUCACUUAUGAACUACAAAGCAUAUAUUACAAUAAAAUGUUUACCUUCAGAAACUUAAAUUGUAAAAUAUAUUCAGUUUGGUCAAUUUGUUUUGUUUGUGCACAUGUAAAGUAAUAUACAGAUUUGCAAUUGCAGUUUAAACCAAGGCUUAAAGUAAAACAAUCAUACAGUCAUUAACUGUGGUAUGUACUGUCCUGGUGUUAAACUGACUACAUUUAUUAAUUAAACUCUAUAAAGUUUCUGUUUCAAAUAAAUAAAUGCAAAAGGCAAAAUUACAGAUUUAGAUUAGAAAUGAAAUAACUGGCAGAAAUAAUGUUCAUAGACAAAACACUUUCUCAUAAUUAAUACAAUUAUAAAAUAAUAAACAUCUAGAGCUUUUGGAACCAA
Non-coding RNA from Electrophorus electricus (electric eel), 2367 nucleotides. NCBI's taxonomy places the organism in Eukaryota, Metazoa, Chordata, Actinopteri, Gymnotiformes, Gymnotidae. The record is from RefSeq and is a predicted model, not a curated record.